UUCCAGCUCCAAUAGCAUAUACUAAUGUUGUUGCGGUUAAAAAGCUCGUAGUCAGAGAUGUGUCCCGCGUUGCCGGUCCACAGACUGUCUGUGCCGACUGCGCAGGUGCGAGGACGUCCUGGCCGGAAGCGGCGAUGCCGAAACUUACCUCAACCCCGUGGUUCUUCGGAGAUCCGGGUGGUUUUCGGGCAGGCUUCAAAACCCUGUCUCCGGAGCCCUCAUGACUCCGUCCUGCGUGUGGUGGGUUUGUCUAGGCGAGUCGCAAUUUUAGGUCCCGACCUAGUGCUCUUAACCGAGUGCUUAGGAGGGCCGGCACUCUUACUUUGAACAAACUCGAGUGCUCAAAGCUGGCCUUCUGGCCCAGUCGCUGUGUGCAUGGAAUAAUGGAAUAGGACUUCGGUCUUGUUCUGGUUGGUCCUAAAGUGCCGAAGUAAUGAUCAAAAGGAGCAGGCGGGGGCAUUCGUACUGCGGCGUUAGAGGUGAAAUUCUUAGAUCGUCGCAAGACGGACAAAAGCGAAAGCAUUUGCCAAGGAUGUUUCCACUGAUCAAGAGCGAAAGUUGGAGGAUCGAAGGCGAUCAGAUACCGCCCUAGUUCUAACUAUAAAUGAUGCCAGCCAGCUAUGCACCGCAGUCGCCUUUGACUCGGAGCGAAGCUUCCGGGAAACCAGAGCUUUCAGGUUCCGGGGGAAGUAUGGUUGCAAAGCUGAAACUUAAAGGAAUUGACGGAAGGGCACCACCAGGAGUGGAGCUUGCGGCUUAAUUUGACUCAACACGGCAAAAUUUACCAGGGCAGGACAUACGUAGGAUUGACAGAUUGAAGAUCUUUCUUGAUUGUGUGGGUGGUGGUGCAUGGCCGUUCUUAGUUCGUGGAUUGGUCCGUCUGGUUGAUUCCGAUAACGAACGAGACUCUAGCCUACUAAAUAGUCCAUAUAGAGAUCCCUUCGGGGCUAUCUGAGAGAAAUCCUUCUUAGAGGGAACAGCGGCCUCGAGUCGCAUGAUAUAGAGCAAUAACAGGUCUGGUAUGCCCUUAGAUGUCCUGGGCCGCACGCGUGCUACAAUGAAGAAAGCAGCGUGAAAAAUCCUAGGCCGAGAGGUCCGGGUAAUCAGAUAAAACUUUUUCAUGCAGGGGAUAGGGGCUUGCAAUUGACCCCUUGAACUAGGAAUUCCCAGUAGGCACGAGUUAGGAGCUCGUGUCGAUUGAGUCCCUGCCCUUUGUCCACACCGCCCGUCGCUACUUCCGAUCGAAUGGGGUAGUGAGGUCUCCGGACCGAUGCUACAGGUUCAAAAAACCUUAGCUUUGGGAGGCUGACCGAACUUGCUCGUUUAGAGGAAGUAAAAGUCGUAACAAGGUUUCCGUAGGUG
Molecule: ribosomal RNA, 1362 nt
Filed under: Spiralizoros caudelli
Lineage: Eukaryota; Metazoa; Arthropoda; Insecta; Zoraptera; Spiralizoridae
Also listed under: 1 other name
Description: SSU rRNA
Rfam family: Eukaryotic small subunit ribosomal RNA
Source: RNAcentral